UGUUCACUCGUGGUUCUUGUGUUGCCUACCCGUUUAGCGGUAUUCAUGUGCCUCUUAAGACCCGUUCAAUCCAGACCCCUUCUAGGGAGUGCUGGUGAGUUCGAAAGUGAUGCAUGUUUUGCGUUAGCUGUGCAUUGCAACGGUUGGCGUGCUAACAUGUGUCUAUUGUUCCCUCGGAUGCGGUGCAUGGGUGAACGUGGGCUGACGAUUGUGCCCCGUUGAGUCCCUUUUAAUUAUCGGUUGCCUUGAAUGACACUUUGUCGUAGUGCUAGUGUUGCUUUACCAUUCGUGGUGUCAACACUAGUAUGUCGAGCAGAGUCGUUGAUGGAUGCUACCUGGUUGAUCCUGCCAGUAGUCAUAUGCU
Molecule: unclassified non-coding RNA, 364 nt
Filed under: Ulex argenteus subsp. subsericeus
Lineage: Eukaryota; Viridiplantae; Streptophyta; Magnoliopsida; Fabales; Fabaceae
Description: partial contains external transcribed spacer and 18S ribosomal RNA
Source: RNAcentral